AAAAAGUCGUAGGCAUAGACAGCGCUACGAGAAUUUUAUUUACGCGCAAGAAUGUUAGGACCAGUUCCUCGAAAUAUGAAGCCGGAUGCGGGCGUCUGUGCGUCUUCUGUUGUGCGAUAUCGUCACGGUUCCAGCGCUACAUCAGCGUUGUGGUAACGGUCGCUAAACGAACAGCUUACCGAGGAUACUUUUUGCGAACGAGCACACGGAUUGCCGGAAGAACCGACAAAAUGAAAGACCCCUGUCUUACUUGAGUGUCCUGAGCCUCUCUUUUACGCGUUUAAUUUAAUUUGGAUACAGCAGCUCUGCUUGGUGCCAGGUAAGGUAACUUCCUCGUCACAGGGGGUCUCCAACGGUGUCGUACGCUGAGCAUGCGCUAGCCGUUCGCCAGAGGCAUCGGCAUUCAUAAUAACAUGUGUCGCCAAACACAUUUCUCUCGAACCAAACACAUUUCGUAUGAGCGUCUGCGCCUCCAGUAAGGAAGAUCUGUGUACUGAGUAGUAUUGGGACGUCUGUUUACGUGUGCAGUGCAAUAGUACUACGGUGCCUUCUCCCCGUACAACGUGAGCAUCAGUCGCAACCCGACCCCCUCGCCUGAACGGUGAUUCCGUCUGCGCAAACGGUGGUUCGGAAGGUCUAGCGCUGGGCUAUUUGUUUUUAGAGAAACCGCCGACGGAAUGGGUUCUGCUAUCACUAGCACAAAAGAGGACAGGACUGAUGGUCUGCAACAAGGGCGAGCAAACAACUUCUCCCGGUCUGCCUGUUGGGCAGCCAAGGACGAAUAUUUUGCAUGCUUGGACAAGCACGGCGGGGACUCAUAUGCUGAGUGCAAGGAGUACAAGCAAAGGUUUGAGGAGAUGUGCCUCCCGUCGUGGCAAGCGCAUUUCACGGCGCAGCGUGGUGUUGAAGUUCGUUCCCCACGAUAGUGCCGCUGGAAAGUAAGGAUAACAUCAACUGGACUUGCGUCCUCUUCAUAGACUCUCUCUGGGCAUCUGUCCUCCAUGAGGCUGGUAGGGAUAUAGGUUAUUGGUGUAGUCCAUCAGAAAUGUGACUGCGAAAACAUAUGAAUGCUGGAGGACUAAACCUCUCGAUGUGAAGGCGUCCUCUUCGGGCGACAGCGGUUCUUCGUUGGGAGCGAAGCAUUUCCCCGAGGACGGGUUCGUCGUUACGUGUGCAUUAGCACCUUGACGGCGUCAGCUCCGUUUUACAUAUCAUUUUUUCCCAAUUGUACAAAGCCAUUAUGCUUCACCCUGCUUGCCACACGUUCUCGCGGAACAGGCCUGUUGCGCAGAUGAUGUGGAACGACACUGCCGUCGUCUGUACGGCGCCUUGGGGUGCGUGUGGUCCGAACCAGUAUAUAAUUUUACUGCUACCGUGAAAAUGGAGCUGCUGGACUCGGCGCUACUGCGUGCACUUCGGACACACUCAUUUCUUGGUGCUUGAGGGCAGCCGCGUUUACCCAACAGCCACUGUGGAGCAUGCGCGAUCCAGUGACGAUCGAUAUUCGGUUUUGUGUUGUUAUUGAAGAGUUCAUGCUCGUCUUCUUAAGGUGUUUCUCAU
This 1560-nucleotide long non-coding RNA is filed under the name Toxoplasma gondii VEG. The record is from RNAcentral. Lineage: Eukaryota; Apicomplexa; Conoidasida; Eucoccidiorida; Sarcocystidae.